UACGGGGGGGGCAAGCGUUGUUCGGAAUUACUGGGCGUAAAGGGCGCGUAGGCGGCUUCGGAAGUCAUGGGUGAAAGGCCUCGGCUCAACCGAGGAAUGGCCUGUGAAACCACGGAGCUGGAGUGCUGGAGAGGAAAGCGGAAUUCCCAGUGUAGCGGUGAAAUGCGUAGAUAUUGGGAGGAACAUCUGAGGCGAAGGCGGCUUUCUGGACAGACACUGACGCUGAGGCGCGAAAGCCAGGGGAGCAAACGGGAUUAGAUACCCCCGUAGUCC
Molecule: ribosomal RNA, 273 nt
Filed under: uncultured bacterium
Lineage: Bacteria
Description: partial 16S ribosomal RNA
Rfam family: Bacterial small subunit ribosomal RNA
Source: RNAcentral